AGGUUUGCUGUUGGAUGCGUUUGAUGGUGGAACCCUUGGGCCCCACCACCAGCCCCACCACGCGGUAGGGCAC
Molecule: non-coding RNA, 73 nt
Organism: Salmo salar (Atlantic salmon)
Lineage: Eukaryota; Metazoa; Chordata; Actinopteri; Salmoniformes; Salmonidae
Source: Rfam